UUCAGUACAGUGGUGUAGCCCUGGGCAGCGUGAAAACUAUGCGACGAAGACGAAGACGCUUACCCAUGCUAUGCGCCUGCUUACCUCAGCUUCCCAGAUAGCGCACGCACGCGGCGACGGCGGCCCACCCCUCCCACCCUGUGUGGCGCGUGCCCGCGGAGGUAGAUGGCGGCGAGCUAAUUAGUCGCGAUUGCCCCCGCACGGGGGUUCGGAUCUCCUCACAUGCAUUUUACACAGCUAGCGCGAAUAGAAGAAGCAGUCGGCGCUAAUCAGACGAGGCCACAGCCGAGGAGGAGAGCCAUGGCGGUGUUGGAUGCAGAUGGAGCACGCGGAGUCCUCCUAGGUGGGAGAGGCGGUAGCCAUCGCGGGGCUCUAGAAUAAAGGGAACAAAAAGAUGCUUUACUGAACACGAACUUUUCGGAGAAUUGUUUCAAAACUCACAAGUGUCCCGUCCCCACUCCCUGACCCCACGCUAUGAACAUGGUAGGCAGCACCGGCUAGUGAAUGGGCAGGGACAUUAAGUUUUGAGUCACCUUCCUCGGGUGCUGGGGGUCUGCCACUGGCAUCUACUUGGAUGUAAUUAAUUCAUUCAUUCAAUAACUGGCCCACAACCACCUUGUGCCCAGGUGAGCGGACAGAGCCAACGGUCAGGCUAAGACAUGGCACCUUCCCUGAUGGGACAACGUGCCAAUAAACCCAGAACUCUCGGGUGAUCACAAACUCUCUUCCAACGUUGCUUUCCUUUCACUUUUGAACAUAGCUCGCAAAACUUGGGACGCUGGGGAGAAGAAAACAGAAACUCUACCAAGAAUGCAACACACCCCAGGGUCCUCAAAGGGUAAGGGCCCAGUGUUUGAUACUUCAGUGGCCUCGAAUAAAUUAUUUGUGGACAGCUCUACCUUUGAAAAUAGGGGAACACCUCAACAGAAUUUUCGGGUCCUCCUUCCUGAAGGUUUGCCCAACUCAAACUCAGAAAGGAUGUGACAGAAAGGUGCAACACGCUGUUUUUCUUGGUCCCUGCCGGUACACCUCUACCUCCAUUCUACGCUCCGUUUUGUUUUUUUUUUUAACGGAUUUGAAAGAACAACAGAAAGCGACUCAAAGCAACCAAGGAUCUCUUGGAACUACGAAGAGGAAGCCCUCACUUGCUGCCGAGUCUCCGACUUCAUCUCCUCAAAAGUUAUUUCUUAUGCACAGCCUCAUCCACACAAAUGUACACUUCAAAAAAUAUUACAAGAAACUCAAAGGAACUUCUGUGCCAGGUUGACGCCUUUUUUUUUUUUUUUAACCUAACCAGAGUGGAUGAAAAAGAUUUAACUGCCGCUCUUGUGCUCCGGGGAAACUCUGAGUUCACAGGCAUCAGCCAGUCCUGUAAGUGGUGGCAGGAAGACAGGGACUACCUUUUACCUCUUCAACAAAAACUUCUUGAUUGAAUCUGAUUCAUCUGUCGUUUGUGAAACUAAAGACUUAGAAGAGAGAAGACCUGGCCGGAAAUUUCUGUUCCGCUCCAGUUGUGCAAAAGGCUCUUCCUCCCUGCUUCCAGUGUGCAGAGGCACAGACACAGGGUGUUUAAAAGAAGAAGAACUAGAGGAGAAGCUGCCAAAAUGGAGCACCGAGGCCGGCCUUAGUGGGGGAAGGAAGGGGUAAGUUCCUAGCAAGAAGCCUGUGACUCCCGCCUGGGAAGCCCAUGUGGCCUUCCUCAGCUGCUGUGGAGCAAGCAGGGCCAAGGCAUCAGGGUAAGUGCAAAGGUACUCUCCUUGGAAACCAGGAACCACAGUGUCUAAAAAUGCCCUCUCCUCCAGGGAGGCUUCUUGGAUUUCUCCUGGAAACCUGUGUCUGUAUCUCUUUCCUAGCCCUCUAUUGGGUGGGAAAUGAUGAACUUUCCAAACUCUGCUGCUACACAAAGUGGCUCCCAGUAUGGGGACCCAGGAAUGCCUAGCCAUUUGUUAAAGAACAAAGGACUAAGAUGUUUUUCCUACACCAUUUGCCAUUUUGGUAAUGACACAUUCAAAAGUGCUUGUGUGUGAUGCCUGGGUACUGACAAACCUCUUCAACUUUAAACUUUUCUUAAGAGAAUUAAUGGGCUCUAAAAUGAGAAAGAGUUCCCCCCCCCCCGUUUCUUCCAGAGGAGGAAAACUGGGAUCUAAAGGGACAAAAAGUUGUGCCCAGGGUCUCAGAACUGGCUCCUGGCAGAACAGGGGCUCUACUCUGUUAACCAAGAGACAAAAGCCCUGAAAGUAGGGGCUGCCGGGUUUCUCCCAUUGUAUUUUAUCUUUCUGACCUGCCUAAGGUCUUCAAAGCUCCCCAAAUAUAGGUAUUUGUCCCUAGAUACCAGUUGCUAAACUGAAACCCUUUAAAAAACCCGUAUAUUCCUAAGCCUGGGGCGGGACUGCAUUCCUGGGAAGGGAAAUGAAGGGAGGGGGCCCCACAGUGCUGCCUGAGGCAGGCGCAGGCGCACAGAGUUUCUUGAAGCUGGCCUCUCAAUUGUAAAAGCCGAGCGCCAUCUGCCAGCCGGUUCUGAACAGCUUUGCUUUGUUAAUUUUUCCCUACUCUCCCGCCUUAAGUAGUGGGUGGGUGUUUUCCUUUCUUUCUUUUAAAAUGUAUGUGUUUUUUAUAUAUAUAUAUAAAUUCUGGCUUAGAAAUGGGACCCCCUACACAAAAAGAUCCUACUUUAAAAAAAUCUGAGUAUAGAGAGAAAAAUAAAAUAGGAAAAAGAGAGAAUGGGAACAGGGCAAACAGGUAAAAUUCCUCAAGGGCGUUUAUUUCCUUUCCUGGACUCUGAGCCCUGUGAACUUUGGGUGCAAAUGAGAUGGCCCCCUUCUCUACCUAAGGCAGCCGCCCUGGCCCUUUCCUCCUCCUCCCAGAGACCCCUACUCCCCACUGAGAGCUUAACCUGUGAUCUCCAGAGUGAAGGAGUUUGAAACUUCCUGUCACCUCGAGUCUUGCGGGUGAGCCUUGGCUACAACAGAUUCAGAUUUGUCUGCCGAGUAAGUACGAGUUUCUGCUCUGUCCCCCACGCAUGUCCCCUACCCAACUUGUGCCUGCUUUAUCUGCAUCAAGGUGAUGUGGGAAGUGUUUCUGCCCCACUCUUAAACGACUCAUCAAAUCUGGUCCCUCUUUGACCAUGGCAGAACCUCAGGCCAACUUGAAGCCUUGUCAAUAUUUCAAGGCUCCCAUCGUUAGCUUUUCUACAUCACUUGGCAAGCGAAUGGAAUCCUAAAAUCAAGCGCCGGAGAAUCAAGGUCCCAGGAAACCCCUGAUGCCUAAAGCCGGUGCUCUCUCCAUCGUCUUAGGUACCCGCUUCAAAAGUUGAGGCAUCUCUGCCCACCCCCCCCACCCCGUUUAUCAGAUUCCCUCUUAAGUGUCCGUCUUAAAUCCGCACUUGCAUAUCUGUUGAACAAAACAAAAUGAUCUGCACUUUCCUUCUAACAGCUAAAAGGAAAGAGUCUGGGGUCACGUGACUGCUACAGUAUAAAUAGCCCAGAGCUUUUUUGGCCACCCAACUUUAGAAAUUUCCCGCUAACGUCUGGCAUUGGAUAUUGGGUUCCACCCUGAGUCUUCUAAGCAUUUCCUUGGAAAGAUGUUGUACUUGGUCCCAGGCAAAGUCUCAAAAUCAACAUUCUGAGGUUUUUUCCCCCCCCCGGAGUUACUUCUAGGAUUGCUCAGUGACGAGUUUUUCCUGGUUAGGGGGCACUUCGGUUAGCAGAACCUGAAACGUUCGGAUGGGUCUGCGGGACGGUUCCAUCUCAAGUGAUGCUUUCCCACCUGACACGGCCAGCAUUUAACUGCUCAAACCACCAAUUGUUUUUUACCACUCCCCUUUAUCUUUCCCCUAGUAGCUAACUUUUCAUUAUGAAAAUCUCAAGUUCCUUAAGAGGGGGGCUGAAAGGAUGGGGAAAGUCUUCAGUUUCAAAAAAUUAGAAACUGGGAGUACAAUUCAGGGUCUGCAUGGCUUAAAACCUGGAUUCAGUCCCCAGCAGCCAAAGAAAGAGAGGUAAGGUGUAAGUUUGGCGAGUGAUGACCUAACCCUCAUCCUAGUGGGUAGACGUGGGUAUGGAUGUUGCUUUGAGAUGGAGAGGCGUCAACGGUUUUAUCAAAGGCCAAGUACAAUAUUUUUGACCAGGAAAUGUCUUUGGUUGGAUACUUCUAUUGGCAUCAUUGUUUUCUUCCUCAGUGUAAUUACUUUAUUCUCUCUACUACCACUUGAAGGUGCCCUGGCAUGGUGACCUUCCCAUGGAUGAGUGGGGUCCGUGUCCUCAUGGCUGGUGUGCACAGGCUAAUUCAAGACUCUUCUAGUAUAUUUGCAAGUAUGCAGAAGGCGCAGGCGCUUCCCUCGCCUUCUGGAAAUCCCUUCUGCGAUAACAGAAUUUACUAGUGCACACCAGGCAAGAGGGACACGGGCUAACAUGACAGCUAAUUACUGAGCCUAAAGAACCCUAUGUGCGAUGGUUAAGGGUUAAUUGUCUAUGCUUGCCCCUGACACUGACUGCCCAUUGAUUAGUUAGAUAUUGACCUGUCACAGUCAUUGUUUAUUUGCCUGAAAUAAUUUCUUCUUCUCUUCAAUUUAGGGUCAUCUAGGGGUCACUCUUGGAGAUUUGUGGAAAUUGCUUCUGUCCAAGAAUGCAGGCCACUAAAAUUAGUAUGUACACCGCUGACUGGUUAGUAGAGGGACAGCUCUUCUUCAGAGGAACUGUUUAUAGAUGUACAAGUUAUGCCAUGUUUAUGUCUAGCCAGCUUCCCCAGGACUAGAGAUGGCUGUCUAGGCAGCAGCUCUCGACCAUGGGUGACAUUUGGUGUUGACUAAAGAGUUUUGGGUUGUCAUACUGAUGUUGGGGAGGUGGUGGUGGUGGUGGUGGUGUGCAUGCGUGUGUGUGUGUGUGUGUGUGUGUGUGUGUGUGCGCGCGCACACGCGUGCGCGAGCGUGCGUGCAGUAGUGAAGCAUCUAUGUGCGUGGUGGUGACAGUAACGUGUCAUACUGGUAGCAGUGGGUGUAGUCUGCGUAAUGUGUGUGGUGGCGGUGGUGAUGUGUGUGUCUGAUAUUGGAUAUCAGUGCACAGAGGGGUCUCCCCUCCACGGGAAGGAGGUGAGGGGGAUGCUAAUUGAGCUGCCUGGAGGACCUCUCGGUUAACAGAUUCCCUUUAAAUGUUCCUGAAAUAUCAGUGUAUAACUACAAAAGAGUCAUGUUGCUGCUUAAAAUACAAGAAAUGUGGGUCUGACUAAACUUCGGGGGCCCCUACGAGCCUCCUCUUUGGGGUGGGGGCAGCAGGACCCUCCCUCACCUUGCUGGGUGUCCUUGUCAUUUCUCACUGGCAAUAUAAACCCACUGCCUCCCUCUGCUUAUACUGUCUCACCAUCUAGUGGUCACCUGAAAUAUAACCCACAUUUGCUAUCUCUGGGCUUUUCUAUAAAGCCAGCCAUGAGAAAUUCUUAUUUGAGGGGACAGUGGGCAGGAGACCCCUCUGCAUAACACAUGCAGUUUCAUUGGUAAGCUAUCUGAGCACACACUAGGCUCGGUAGAGCCAUCCAGAGUGCAAAUGCAAGGAGUUAGGACGUACACUUCCCACACAUUCUGAAAACAAUAGCAGCACCAAUGAGCAACAAACUUGAGGGGCUAAUUACAAACAAGCUUUGCCGUUCCUAAGAAGCAACCCUUUGAGCUUUGGUCCUAUCCCUCUGGACACAUAGAGGUUGACACACACGGUCACAGACUGAGGACAGUGCUGGUUUGAAAGGACGUGCGUGAGUGGAUGGUCCCUAGCAGCUACAUGCUGCCCUAGGGACACCAUUUACUCUUGAUACUUUAUCCUUUGGGGGGGUAAGAGGAAGUCAUUUCUGUUUUGUUAGGCAGCGAUGAGACCGGUAAGCUACUUUUACUGCCUUAGAAGCCAGGGUUCAGACCUGAGAGAUGGAUCUCAGGAACUUAAGAGGACUCAACAUGUCCACCAGGUAAGCUGCAGGACGCUUGCCCCCAUCUCUUUCGCAGCCCUGGGGUCCCUGACUCAUCUCAGUGCCUAGCUCUGGGUCUUGUGUGUCGUGGUGACCAUUGCUGUUGACAUUUGUGUAAAGAGAAUCCGGUUUGGGACUUACCUGUGUGCAGGUUACCUGUAAGAAUGUCUUCACAGUUGUUUACACAUUAGUGACCAGUUUGACAUGAGGCAAACUGCUCACACAAGGGAGGAGGAGAGAGGUGGUCAGAUCUUUUGACAGAAGGGACAGGCAAGAGCCAGCAAGUUGGGAGAGAGGCUCCAGCCGACUGUUCUGGUGUCUUCGUCAGAGGUCACACGCCCUCAACAACGGCAGUGUGCAAGCUUGACCGUAACACUCCUGAGAAGGUAGGUAUAUAAGCUUUUUCCUUCCCAUUAUCAACUCAGUGGAUAAAGUCUGAAGCACUUACUGUGUCCCACACUCAAAAGGUGUGUGACAGUGUCAGAAACACUGACUGAUGUCAAAUUUUAAAUCACAUAACAAUUUAUAUUACUUCUAUACGUCUCUCCUCGUCCCCAAAUUGAAUCAUUAACAUUUAGUAAAAAAAUCCAAUGUUUGGGAUUGGUGGGCAGGAUUCUCCAAGUCAAAAUACUCCUGAAUUCUCCUGAGCUUUAACAAAUUCACUUUGUAAUGCAGUUUGGGGUUUUACCUCUAAGUGCAACAGAAGCAUACUUCCUUAGUUUUCGUUGCUCUGUCACAAAUCACUUGCCUGAUGUUCCUCCUUGGUCACAGCUUCCAGUGUGGCACAUGCAAAACACUUCCAAUAAUUCUAACUUGUCAGAGACCAAAGCAUCCAAGCCUGUGAUAGUUGGCAAUAAUCGAAAAGUUAACAUUGGGGGAAGGGGGUGUGUCCUUACCUGUUUCUUGGGGAGUCUUGGUCUUGUCCUCUUCCUGUUCCACCAGCUGGCCUGCUUCAUCGGUGAUCUGGUUACUGGGAGGGAAACUAAAGACACUUUUUUUUGCAUGUAAAAUAACCACAUCCCAACCCCUGGGGCUAAGUAAGAGUUCUGAAUUAAUUUACACAGAGGUAGCCAAUGACAGGGGGUGGGGAGUAGGGAGGAAGGGUGAGCAAGAAUGACUGACGGUGCUUGUUCAGGAUUGGCGUGGGGGCAGGAAGUGACCCUUUCAGGAAGUUUUCUUCCUCUUCUGCCGCAUUAUCCUAAAGUUGGCAAGAUGCCAUUUGUCUCUUGACUUGUGUUACAAGCCCUGGUACACAGAGUGCACUAUGAAAUGUAGAAGCACGGGGUGCCUAGGCUUGAGCUGACAAAUCUCUCGUUGAGAUUGCACAAGAAGUAAAACCUCCCCCUGGAACAAAGACAGGAGGAGAAGAGGCAGGGGGCUCCUGAGUGUGAGACACACUGGACUCGCAGCUAAUAAGAAGCUUCCUUCAGGUUCUGGCUCUCCUUUGAGGGAAUGGAGAAGAACAAGGCCUCUUCCGGGAUAAGCCCCUCUGGCCAGCCUGGGCUUGAGGCUGCCCACUGGGAUUCUUAAGCUGCGUAAAGAUCUCAAAAGAUUCUUCAUCUGAAAUUACAAAAGAAAGGCCAGAUCUAUGUUCUUCUCAUUCCCUCUGAAGAGCUUGAUCCUAGGUCCGCAGGUCGGCCUAGGGCUAUGGUGGGAACAAAGGAUGCCUUCCAUGCGGUGAGCUGAAGAGCUUGCCAAGGUGGGUGUCGGGACCAGAGCCUGCGUGUUCCCAGGAGGCCCCACAAAUGCUCACUGCUCUUAGCUUCUUCCCUUUGGCCCUGUUGUUUCCAUUUGGAAAACUUUUACUUUUCCUGUGGAGUUUUAUUUUAAAAUAGGCAAAAAGCAAAAACAAAAACAUACUAACUUUAAUUUCAUUAAAACCCUGGGAGGGGGAAAGUGCAUUUAGCCUGUGUCACGUCUUUAAAAAAAAAAAAAAAAAAACAGAAACUAAAUUUCAUUUGCUAUUUGUAUGUCUCCUGAAAGGGCACAGAGACAUUUGAAAAGCUAGAAAAGGGGUGGGCACAUUUAAUUUGGAGAGGGAAUUGAUUUAAAAAACAAGAGGGUAUACCUAGAAUUGGUGGUUCAAUUUUAAUCAAUUAGGCCAUCUUCUUAAAAAUUUUUUUUGUUGUUUAACACAACUUUCCUACAUUAAAAUAAAACAUCAAAACAAAUGACGUUCAAAAUCAUGCAUGGGUUCUUGAUAAAUGGAAAAAAUGGGACUUAGCUGUGAACUGAAAAUGAAGAUGGCUUUUAAAAGCCAGGAAAAGAAAGUUAUUUGGGGCCCUGUAUUCCCUUAACUAGGACUCUGUAUACUGUAGCAUUGCCUGUUCAGGAAUGUAUACAAAAAAGGGCAUCACAUUGUUAUUAUUAAUUAAUAGUAUUAUUAAUAUUAAUAAUAUUAAGUAAUAGUAAUUAACAAAUAUCAGUAUUAAUUAAUAAUAAUUGCUGUUGUUGACGUUGAUGCUACAAGCGUGAGCCCUGCAUAAAAAAAAUAUUGGGAGGUUUUUCUCAGAAAAGAUGUAAAGUAAAACCUACAUUAUUUAAAAAAGAAAAAAAGAAGAAGAAAAAAAGUAUUCUAAUGUGUGUGUGUAUGUGUGUGUGUAUGUGUGUAUGUGUGUGUAUGUGUGUGUAUGUGUAUGUGUGUGUGUGUGUGUAUGUAUGUGUGUGUGUGUAUGUGUGGGUGGGGAGGCAGAUGAGAUGAAGCAAAUGUGGGUAUUGAAUUUCCACAGCAAUGGCUUCCCAAAGGGGGCAGCAUACAUUGCAUGUUCACUCGGUAGACAUUCAGUCAGUGGCCUGCCAGGGCCUGGCUGGAAUUCAGAAAGCAGCAGGCUGUUAGACACCUGUCGUCAAGCAAGGGAUUUUAAGAUCACAGGGAGCACUCAACAGCAGUCAUGCCCUCGGUUUAGAGAAAGCCAUGGAGAAUCUUUCUUGUGGGCUUGGUGAGUGGCAGCAUGUCAGAACUAGAGGCCUGAGUUCUUCAAAUACUCACCGUGCAACCUUUGGGAGAAAAACAAAGCCCCUCACAUUUAAUCUCUGUGAUGUGAAUGGAUGCUCUUGUGAAACGGGCAUGCUGUGGUGCUCUCUCUGCCCAGAACUGUUUCAAAGGAUUAACAUGAUGAGACAGAAUGCUUUUAAAACUGCAAACUGCAAUUAGAACAUGCUAACCACUAACAAUGCUGAGAGCGUCGAGGGUCCCCUACCCUUCUCGAGGCAGGAAAUGGUCCCUGUUGUCUGUGCUUGUACCAUAUCAGCAAAUUAAAAAUAAAAUUUGCCAUUUAGGGGAAAAAUGUUUUUGAGAUAAAUAGAAAUUUUUUUAAAGGGGCCUCUGUAAAACGUGGAUGUUACCGAGAGACAGGGAAAGGCAAAAAAAAAAAAAAAAAAAAAGUAAAAUUGGGGGGCAAUAAGCUAUGCCCUUCCCACGGCAAACAGUUCAGUGGAGGCAUUGUGAAUUUAGAAAAAAAAAGGCUGCAUUAAAAAAAAAAAAGCACUUUGUACACUGAGAUGCAGUGCAGUAUUAUACCACUUGGCAGCCAAAUAAAUUAUUAUACAAUUAAUUGUGAUCCAAUAUAUAAACAAGGUAUCACUACGGAGUGGUUAUAUUAUGUAUAGUGUUUACCUACACAAUUGUAAUAAAGGCAAGAGAUACUAAAAAUUUCUGAUCCAGUAGCUCCGUUGCAAUUCAAGGAAUAAAACCUAAAUGAGGUUUUGAAAAGAGAAAAAAAGAAAGAAAAAAGGUCUAACCUACAAAAUUAUUUUAAGAUAACAGAAACAUGGAAACAGUCUGAGACUAGCCUGCAUUACAAAAAACCUUAGCUCUCUAGACAUUAUGGAAUUUUUAUUAAAUUAUCUUUAUUUUUCUAUCUUGCAUCUAUUUUUUAAAAAAAUAAUUCCAGCAAUAUAUUUGGGCAAUAAAAACAGCAUGCACACAGAAAAACACUUUUUUUUAAAGCAACAGAUGAAUCUGCAUGUUGACAGGUGAAUAAACAUGUUCCAGGAUGGUCAUGUGACUGACAGAUGAAGAAGCAUGUUCUAGGAUGGUCAUGAGGUCUGUAUGUUCCGGGGUCAGAAGACAUAGAUAGCUUGUUUAGCACGGUGGAGCUAGAGAGUUAGUAAAAUGUCUUGUAAAUGUGAGUAAAAACCCUUCCCAGUCAGUAACAGGGACCCGGAGACCAUCCCUGUCUUGUCACUUUAGCAAAAUGAAACCAGCCUGGUGGCAACUGCAGUGUUCUUUGACAGACAGCACAGCUGCAGUGUCACGUAGCAGGAGCGAUGGCCAUCUUACUUCAGGCUCAGGCGAGGCCUAGGCCAAGUCUGAGCAGCCUGGCCCUGCUGUGGAUGACGCUGCAUCCAAAAGGACAUAAUGGCUGACAUCUACAAAGGACAGUAGCAAGGUACCCCAGCAAAUGUGCUAGCGUUUUGGUUUAAUUAUCCCCUCUAGGGGGAAAAAAAAUCUAGGAGAAGCAAGGGAAGCGUCUACUAUUCUGAAAAAACAGCCUGGCCCCAGACACGGGGUUUGGUGCAGAGAUCUGCACCGAUGGGUACCAUCAGCCUCCACCCUCUUCUCCCCUGCAUGGUAGGGGGGCUAGACAGAAGACCCAAGUCCUAGUGCUGGAGGGCACUUAAAUGACAAUUUCCUAGGAGAGUUUUGUUUUUUUUUCAAACGAGGCAAGCGAGGCCCCAGGAUGUAAGAGACGCUGUAUUCAAAUGUGCACAGUCACUGGGGCCUUCUAUCUGCAGACAUUUGUGGGUGCCCCCCCCAACUCACAGAUCAGCUCCUAGGAGUAUGGAAAGGGAACUGCAGUGAGACCAGAACCUUGUCAUGUAACGUACUAUUGUUUUUCAUGGAACGGGAACAUUUGAAAUUUAAAAACUAUUUCCCUUAUCAUAUGCUUGAGUCAAUGAUACCAGUUAUUUCCCCAGGAAGGCAUACAUGAAAUGACCCAUCUAAAAUCAUGACUGGCGGGGGGGGGGGGCACAUCACAACAGCACAGUCACGUCACCAAUGUCUUUAAUGAACACCAUCACAGAUUACCAAGUAUUUAACAGACAAAUGUAGCGUAGCCUCAGAAACUGUGAUCCUGAGAUCCCUUGUCAGGUAUUAUUAGAGAAUAAAAUAAAUUAAUUGUAGAGAUUCACUCGUGAAGAUUUUAUUUAAGCCACAGGUCCAGACCAUUGUUAACUGCUGUUCUGAUUAAUCUGGCAAGAAGAAUGAAUGCCUCAGGUUGGAGAUGAGAAGUCUGGAGCGGGGAGGGGCUCUGGCUGUGCAAUGAGGGGAGGGGUCUUGAUGAGGGGAGGGGACAUGGAAAGUUGGAGAGUGAGUUGCACAGAUGGGGGGGUGAAUGAGGACUUCCAAAAGCACCCAUCUGGCUGGCAUAACGUUUGUUUAGCCGUCAUCCUAAAGAGCUUUAUUUUUUUUAGCCCCAAACUGAUUUAGAGAAGAUCUUACCUUCCAUUCUCUUCCCCCCAGCUAAAGCUGCUUGAAAAAAAUGCAUAUGCAAACAUUUACACAAGUAAUAUUUCCUGUUUCCCAUGCACUGCCCUCAUAUUCAGUAUGCACUCAGAGUAUUUAAUUUUUUAUUUUAAUUGCAAUUAAAAUACAAAGGCAACAUUACGCUCCCACCACACAAUUCCCAGGCUGUUUAAACCAGGCCCCUCCUACCAUAAGCUGUAAAAAUAUAAGUGAUUGGCUUACCUCGGGCUCUUCACUAAGAAGAAAAUUACUUCAUAUAUUUUUUAAACCCAGCCACGCCCACCCCCUUCAAAGCAAGUCCGUGUGUUUACAAUGUGGCCUUGCCAACAGGGCUAAAAUGCCCCCCCUUCUUCUCUCCCCCAAGGUGGGCCCAGUGUGUGCGUGCAUGUGUGUGUGUGUGUGUGUGUGCAGAAUACAAAAUACAGACGUUGUUCACAACCCCAAAGCCCCAGAUACCUGAGUGUCUGGUUUUUCAACCGUUAAGGCGGGAGGGUUUGACGUACGAAUUGAGAAGUAGGAAUUGCUUAGUGCAAAGGAAAAGAGAGAGAAAGACAUAUGGGGUAGGGGGGAAGGUUAUGGAGACCCGCAGCUGCGGCUCCAUUCCCCCCGGCCAGCGGCCCAGCAGAUUACCCAGGAUGCCCCGCCACCUUUUCCUAUGCGUUUUCCCUCUGCUAGCUGCAGAGAGCCUUCGCACAGGUACCACUGAGUGAGUGUGAGUGUGUCAACACGGAAAGUUUUGCUCGCGCCAUGGCGCAAAUCACAAGGCAGCCUAUUUCACAGUACAAGUCCACAAUCGGCGGGUACAUUGAAGAUGCCAGGGAUGGAAACUGGGACACACUGAGCAUGUCAUGCACAGGCGAACAUAGAAAAUGGACACCAACACACACUAACAACAAGCUGUCUGAGUCGAAGCAGCCGUGCCAGGCGAGGCGGGGGCGCGCUCCCCGAUGGCCCUAGCCCACCGCGGUCACGAACAUUUAAGCCGGGGGAGCCCCGAAGGGCCCUCCCCAGCACUUCCUGGCUCACCUCACGCCCCCGCCUGUCCAGCCUAGGAUCGCUGGCGCUGGCGCUGGCCUCCGGCCGGUAACGACCCUCAGUGUCGCUCGGCACCACUUUUCUCCCUGGAGGGCAUAUACUUCGGCCACCCGAACCCUCAAAAAAUCCCCUCUCCCACCCCCAGGGCAUAGUUGGGGGCCCUCCCUGGAACUUCUAACAGGGUUUCCGGACCCCUCCUCCCGUGGUCAAGGCCCAAGCCCCACCGGAAGGCCAUACCACCCCCUCCCCGGGUGCCCAGGGCGGCCCUACUGCCCAGGGGCAGAAGAUGCCGCAUUACCUAGAAGCAGCAAGCGGUGCGUACACAUGUAGUCCAUCUUCUCCUCCUCCAGCUGCUUGUCGAUGGCCUUGCUGCGUUUCUUAUCUGCGCGCUUCUGCUCUCGCAUCUCAAUGGCCUCUUUGCGCAUCUGUUUGCGCCUCUCUUCGAAAGGAUCCUUGGCCUUCCCUGGGCUGAGGGAGCGGGAUCUCUCGGAGAGACCGAAGCAGCUUCCGAAGGCUCUGGCGAAGAAGUUGCGGACUGGGUUGCACCCAACCGUGUGGCUCCUGGGCUGGCCGGGGCGGCGGUUUCGCCGCAGAAGGUACUGGAAGCAGCCGUUGGCCCCUUCUUCCGACUCAUCACUGGAGGAGUCGAUCUCGCAGAUGACGGAUGAUACCUCCUCGUACCUGCAGCAGCUUCGGCCGCGCUCAUACUUGUCGGGCCAGGCACUCGGCCUCGGAGCAGGCCGCGGAGUAGGCGGACUCGGCAGGGGCGGCUGGGACGACCGGGGCUGCACCUCCAUCAGGCUCCGCGCGGACAGCAGGGGCUGCUCCGACUUCUUCAGCAUCGGUUUGGAGAUCCGCGGGUGUUGCUGGGGCCGGAGGAGAUCCGCCGGCAGAGGCAGCAUCAGCUCUCAGAUCAGAGCCUGGCGCAAUGGCGCAGGGCAUUGUCUUUUGUUGCAAUGCAGCUGGGCAGCGGGGCAGGGGGUUGCCUGGGAUACAGGACCCUAGGAGAAGAGCCCCAAGUGUGGAGAGGCUCGGCACAACACAGCCCCUUGCCUACAGCAUCCACGUGGUCGCCCCGAGUACAGGAAAGCAGACAAAGUGCACCACUAGGCAAUGCCUGAGACCUCCCGAAGGCGUGUGACCUCAGCUCUACGGUUCGACACGGUUCGACACACUGCGCGCCGAAACACUUUGAACUUUGGUCCAAAGUUCGGUCAACUACCCCCACGCAAAAUGGCGAAAACAGUUUGAACACACACUGAAUGGUCCAACUGGGUCUCAACCACCAACCCACUCCCCUCCGACCCCAGCGCCAGAGAGGGCUACCGCUGAGGCACCGUGAAGAGGCAUUUCUGGGGCCUGGAGGUGGUGAUCCAGGCCCCUGGAGAGACACAGACUGGAGGACAAGAUGGACAGAGUUCAUUUCCCAGGGAUGCUGAGCCCUGCACGAGGUGGAAGUGACCGAGCAAGUCAGUUGAAUGAACGGAGCUGAGGGCUGGGCCCUGUUGUGUCCCCACAGCCAGUGUGCCUCCAGAGGGCCCGUGUUUAUGAAGCUGAGCAGCACAAAAGACACCUGCCCAAAGGACUUGGGGACCCCAGGAUGGCGCUCACCGAGAAGCCGACUCACCCUCUGGCUCUGCAGAGAGUGACCCCACUGCGCAAGAACUGCUGAAGCCGAAAAGGAGGAACCUUAUGAGGUGAGAAGCAGGGUCCGGAGACCCCAGCUUCUCACCUCAGGGCGAAAAGAAGGGAUGCACCUACCUUCCCGACCACAGCGAACUUUCUAAAGCUCCGCGCCCCAGCUGCCGUCUUUUUCCAGCCUCGCUUCAUCGGCUCACACCCUACGUGAGAAAACAGGUGCGUCGAUCAGAACGGCAUGGCUAGGGGGCGGCCGGAGACCACUAGAUCGUGGUAUUGGACUCUGAAGCCUAAGGAAUUGGAGCACAGCUCUGCCCGCAGCAUAUGGUGUGCAGAGACAUUGGUCAAGCUGAUUUUAGGGCACAUUGAGGGAGAAGUCAAGGCUGUGUGGGUGCUGGUAAAUGCCCUUUUGAUGGAAACUGAUGCCUGCUGUCCACAGUGAGGAAACUUGGAAGGUGCCUGCCGGUGGUGACAGAAAGGAGUGUUUGAGUGGCAGCUUUGAGACAACCCAGCUUGUAAACACCUUUGGAGCCUCACAACCGCCUUCCUGACUGGCCACCUGCUCUGCUUUAGCCUCUUCUACAUGGGGCAGACCCUUCAGUCCUGAAGGGAAGGUUUGCUAAGCAGGAGAGCUCGGGAGAGCGCUGUCUCCUGAGGACCAGGACUGAGCCCAAGUCCACAUGACAGUGUUCUACCACUGGUCUACACUGGCGGCCCUCUUUUAAUUUUAUUUUGAGACACGAUCUCACUGAGUUGCCCAUACUAGCCUCAAACUUGGAACCCUCAUGCCUUAGACUCCCAAGUAACUAGUAUUAUAGGCAUGAACCACUGUGCCCAGUCUGGAGGGUUUCUUGGUUAACUACCUCUGUAAGAAAGAGCUCUGGGGAGUGGGGGACAAACACCCAGCUUUGUGAGUUGUUAACACCCUGCCUCUCGCAUGUAUGGCCUAGUAUCUGCCUAAUAAAUUUGUGUAAAAGGA
Molecule: long non-coding RNA, 15068 nt
Organism: Mesocricetus auratus (golden hamster)
Lineage: Eukaryota; Metazoa; Chordata; Mammalia; Rodentia; Cricetidae
Exons: 13
Source: RefSeq, a predicted model, not a curated record